This 429-nucleotide ribosomal RNA is filed under the name Gemmatimonadota bacterium. Its description in RNAcentral is "Gemmatimonadetes bacterium partial 16S ribosomal RNA". It matches the Rfam family "Bacterial small subunit ribosomal RNA", at positions 355 to 776 of the family's 1533-position model. The record is from RNAcentral. Lineage: Bacteria; Pseudomonadati; Gemmatimonadota.
UAGGGAAUCUUCGGCAAUGGACGAAAGUCUGACCGAGCAACGCCGCGUGAGUGAAGAAGGUUUUCGGAUCGUAAAACUCUGUUGUUAGAGAAGAACAAGGACGUUAGUAACUGAACGUCCCCUGACGGUAUCUAACCAGAAAGCCACGGCUAACUACGUGCCAGCAGCCGCGGUAAUACGUAGGUGGCAAGCGUUGUCCGGAUUUAUUGGGCGUAAAGCGAGCGCAGGCGGUUUCUUAAGUCUGAUGUGAAAGCCCCCGGCUCAACCGGAGAGGGUCAUUGGAAACUGGGAGACUUGAGUGCAGAAGAGGAGAGUGGAAUUCCAUGUGUAGCGGUGAAAUGCGUAGAUAUAUGGAGAAACACCAGUGGCGAAGGCGGCUCUCUGGUCUGUAACUGACGCUGAGGCUCGAAAGCGUGGGGAGCAAACAGG